GAUAGAUUAAAUGAGAAAAUUCCUGUAAGGCACUUAGCAUAUUAUCUGGCUUAAUAAAGAAAAAGAUCAAUUACUUUAAUUAUUAAACCAUAUGGUAGCUGACUAAGUAUAAGCAUAGUCUAAGGGGAGAACUUGGAUUUCAUGGGGGAAAAUACAGAUGAAAAGCAAGGCACGAGUUUGAGCAUGAGUAUGAAAGGGAGGCCAAGCUGCAAUGCUGCCUGUCAGGAAUGGUGCUAGGUAUAAAUCCACUGUCUCAUAGCAACAUUGGACAUGACUUUAUUGGGCCCAGUUCACUGACUGGGAAACUAAAACUGAACCAGAUUACAGAAUUUGGACAAAUCAUUUCUCUGCCCGUGGAAGAUUCAGGUGCUGAGUCCCUGCUGGUUUCAUUGCACGUCCCUUCUCCAGUACGCUGGAGCACAUGGAAUCCAGAAAUGAAAUAAAGGAAGUUUCUAUGCAGAUGCUGGAAGAGUUUGCACAGAAAAGCAAGGCGACAUGGGCUUGUUCUACACUCUUACCAUAACGGGAGGUGGGCUGUCGAAUUUCCCACUUGCUUAUUUCCACAAGCUACUCUAGGGCUGGGUGUUCAGUUGUCAAGGGUCUCCGGGGGGUUCCCUGGUUUUUGGCCCUUUGCUGAGCCCCUCCCCCCCAAAAAAGGCACAAAUAAUAAGUAGAUAAGGAUUGCCCAGCACAAAAAACAAAGUCAGGGACUUGGGACUUUUCCAGGGGCACAUGAUUUGCAAAAAGUUUUUGUUUUUCCUUUCUGUUAAAAUUGCCAAGACCUGAAAUGUAUUUGUUGGGAAAGGGGUGAUAAUGCUAUUGUUACUGCAGAUAAUAUAGUUGCUUAACCAGAAACUGCAAGAUAAACAUGCGAGGGAGAAGGAGCACUGGCAUGGAGCAUUUAGGAAGGUGGUGAUUAUGACACGAAUAGCUGCGUACCAGCAAAGCUGACAGAAAAACUUGUCUAAGCCAAAAAGAAAUCCCCUUAGGGAAGAGAUAACCAGACAUUAGGAUGAGCCCUUGGGAAUAUAGCCCUUAGGGAAUGAGCAGGUGUCUAGGAGUAGGAUUAAGGGAUCCUCUAGCUGCCCAGCAUCCUAGAUGAAUAGGAACUGGGGAAGUUUGGGGCAAUGAUCUGGAAAGAGGGAGAAGAAUGAGGAGUAAGAAGGAGCCUGCUAAUUCAGCAAGAGCUUAGCAUCUGCAUAGAAAUUUACACCGAUAAAAAAUUUCUCCAGAGUUGGAACAAUCUACAAGUUUUCAAGAACAGGGAUAGCUGGAAAAAGCCCAUGCUCACCCCACCCUCCAAAAUUGCAAGUUCUAAUCCCUAAAAUCAGUGACUACUACCUCUAAUGGGGGAAAAAAAAGGAUUCUGCAGAUGUUAUUAAGGAUUUUGAGAUUGAGAGAUUAUCCUGGAUUAUCCAGAUGGUCCCUGAAUAUAGUAAUUUUAUAAGGAGGCAGAGGAAGAUUCGACUACAGAGAAGGCCACAUAGUUUCAAAGGCAGAAAUUGGAAUAGGAUAGUCACAAGUUAAGGAAUGCCAGAAGCCAUUGGAAACUGGAGGAGGAAGAGAAAAAGCUAGAGCUGGUGGGAGAGGGGAGGAGAGAGGGGUAUAGUUUUGCUAACACCUUGAUUUCAGUCCAGCAAUACUGAUUUCGGACCUCUGGCCUCCAGAACUGUGAAAGAGUAAAUUCCUUUUGUUUGGGGGCACUAAAUUUGUGGUAAUUUGUUACAGCAGCUAUAGGAAACAUAAUAACUGACCUUCAAUUUGGAGAAAUUUGCUUUGCUCUUCUGGGAAAUAAUCCCCACUACACCAUUAAAUGGUCAUUUCAGCUUUGCUUAUAAAAGUAAAAAAAAAAAAAAAAUGCAAAGAGCCUAGAACAUCCAUAAAUAGAAGUUUAGUUAAACAAAUGAUGAUAGUUUGUUGAAUGGAGUACUAUGUAACUAUUAAAAAUGAAGUGGCGAGGUAUAUUUACUAACACAGCACUUUGUUCAUAACAACCUUACCAUUAGUUUAAAAAAGAAAGUUAUACACUAAUCUUUUUAGAUAGAAAUUUUGAUCCAUUUUGGAAUUCAUCCUGGUAUUCGCCAUGAGGUAUGAUAUAAGUUUACCUCUUUCUAUUUGGCCACGAUUUUAUGAUUUAUUCCAAUACCACUUACUGAGCAGUACAGGCAUCCUUCACUGAUUUCCUACACAUUAAAUUUCCAUAUACUGAGGUUUAUUUUUGGACUUCUUAGUCUGCCCCAUUGAUCUGUCUGCUUAUUCAUGAUUGGUACCAUGUUGUUGAUAUUACUGAGUCAUUAUAACAUAUUUAAUAUCUGAUAGGACAACCUUCCCCAUUGCUCUAUUUUUUUUUCCAGAAUUUUUCAGCUCUUCUUUCUUGAUUUAGAAUUACCUCAAGUUUUUAAAAGUACGGUGGGUUAUUUUGUGUUGUGAUCAUGUUAAAUUUAUAAAUAGUGAAAAUUGAUGUCUUUAUGGUACUUAGCAAUCUAAGAAUUUUUUUUUUUUUUUGUCUUUUUGUCUUUUUUGUUGUUGUUGUUGCUAUUUCUUGGGCUGCUCCCGCGGCAUAUGGAGGUUCCCAGGCUAGGGGUCAUGCUCUAACCUGCUCCCCAUGUACAUAAAAAAGUCAAAAGAGCGGCCAAACAGAAACCCAGAGCAGUUCCCCAGAGCAAGUCCUAAGGGCAGACAGAGCAAGGUUCACCUACUCGCCUGGGGCCCUCCACCUCCGGUUGAAAGCCCACACCCGACCCGUCACAGGGCUGCCCUCCUUAUUUUAAAAUAAAGGGGCCCUCCAUCCACUAGUUUUUCACUACCCGACUCAGUUCCUGGCCUGCCUAGACCCUGUCUGCCUCGCUCCUCACCUAUGGUGAGGAGGGUAGCAUGGGAUAACUUGCACAUUCCAUCAGGGGAAGGAAGCUGGCUGCUUUCCUGGGAACAAAUUCCCGGAUCCGCUACCAGUUGACUUUGCAGGCUGUCAAACUCAAGCCCUCCAAGUGAGCAUGUACUGCCCCGUCACGUUUAGGCUUUAGUGUUCCUGUGGGGUCACAAGAUCCUUGGCUCUAGAUUAUCUGGUAGGAAGUAGAGAAGGAACAGGAGGACAAAGUCCUAAUGACUCAUGAGCAUCCACCACGAGCUCAUGCAGUUAUUACCAUGAUCACCACUCCCCACAGAUCUCAUUUAAGCCUGAUAGCAUCUCUGACUAUGGAUGAUGAAACCAAAGCUCAGGGUGUGUAAGUGUUUCGCUUGACAUCACGCAGGCAGCAAAUGCCAAAGAGGAUUUGCGCUGGAUCCUGACUCCAAAGCCUUUGCUUUGUUUCCCCGGUGAUGCCUGGCUGCCCCACCACCAGCCUCAAAGGCUACUGUGUGCAAAUUUGUCAGAAGUGUCCUUACUCAGGACACAUCGCUGCCAACUGCCAGAACAUUGUCAUGAGCAUUACAAAAAUCUUUGGGAGAAAUGGCAUCCCUGUCGGGUUAUUCAUGUCCCCCAGCACGUUCUGGGAUGGGCCCGACUGAGCCCCUACGCGACCCCGCCAUCCUCCCUACUUGGGCAGAGGCACAGGCCGCUCCCGUUUGGGCUGAGCAAAGCGGUGGAGAGUUUCCAGCACUCAAGGUAACGGGAAAUGUUCAGCAAAGUAGGUGAAAAGCCUUGUCUAACAUUUCCAUUUACCUACUUUGUCUGAAUAAGUGUCAUUAAUUCAAACCAUUUCAAAAUGGGGCUUGAUGAUGUGUGAGAGCGGAAGCCCCUGAGCACCAGGCCGCCCCGCACCACAUCCUCGCUGACGCUAUCUCUUGCCUGAAGCGAUCAAUUGAACCCCGGCAAAUGUGCUGUGAAUAUUGCAGCUAAACCCACCGCUAAUGCGCGGGUGUCUGUGCGCGCAGCCGCAGCCGGGACGGGGAUGGGGCGGCCGCAGAGGCUGCUCUUCGCAGAUACACUCCCCCCAUCCCAGCCCCGCCUGACUGCCCUCCCUUCUCUAGCUACCCCCUCCUUCUCAAAGCCCCCCACUUAGAAACCGCGCGAGGCCCACUUCAAACAAGAAAAAAGAUGGAUGAGCAUAGUUUUCCCUCUAGGAAAUACCCCCGCAAAUCAACUGCUUCUCUUAGUGCUCGCUGCUAAUGCUUUUCAUAUAGACAGCGGUGUUCUUACAGCCUCAAUAAUACUGUAAAAAUUCUGCAGCCAGAAGGAAAACCCAUCCCUUUGCAAAAGCAAGAGUAAAGUCUGAAAGCUUAGCAACGUACAACUUUAAUAUUUUGGUUGAUAACAUGCCAUGGACUCAGAAUAUUUUCCAUUUCCUCUUUGUCCUUUUUCCAGUGAUUUCAAAGGACUUUAUUAAAUCUAUCAAAACCUAAAUAUGGUAAAUUAGGUGACUUUUUUUUUUCUUCUAAAAAAUACACAAGAAAGGUAUAUGCAUCCAAAUAAGUCUCAUCCUCUUCAAAGUAGAUUCCUAUAUGGGAUUUGGACUUGUUUCAGUGAUCCCCUUCCUUCUCCAGCACACACGCACACACGCACAGUUGUUUAUCUGUGUGAGAAAUUCUUUUGCAAUUGAGUUUAGCACCAGCAUAACAUUUUGAAUAUCUUUCAUGGGUGCACAGCAUGAUUUGUGGGAAAAGCCCAAGAUACUGAGUGCCAUGUCUGAUGUCUUUAAAAAACAAUGAAGUGGGACUCUAGUAUUUGAGGGUUUAAAUGAGAUUGUACCAGAGGGGGAGAAAAAAAAGCUGAUUUUUAUCACAUGGCUUAUAAGUGGGAUCUACCUGCCAGUUCAGGGCAGCAACUGCCAACAUGUUCUGAGCAGAGUGAAGCAGCACUGGCGCAGUGGAUUCUGGGAAUGUUUUGGAACCUCAAGGAACCUGUUUCCUCACCAGCCAGACGAGGAAAUUCAAAGCUGCCCAAUUUGCCUCACAAGGCACGCUGAAGACCAUUUCAUGAAGAAAUAUUUCUUUAGAAAUCAUCUGCAUUCGAAUCCAAUACCCAAAACUCAUCAAAGCAGAGCUGUUCCAGACUUAUGGUUGCCAAGAGGGAGCAGGAGGAAGCGGGAUGGACUGGGAGUUUGGCGUUAGUAGAUGCAAAUUUUACAUUUAGAAUGGAUAAGCAAUGAGGCCCUACUGUAUAGCACAGGGAACUAUAUCCAGUCUCUUGGGAUAGACCAUGAUGGAAGAUAAUAUAAGAAAGGGAAUAUAUAUGUGUAUAUGACUGGGUCACUUUGCUGUACAGCAGAAAUUAGCACAACAUUGUAUAUCAACUAUAAUUAAAAAAAAAAAAAAAGGCAGAGCUCAGUCCCUAAGGCAUCUCAGAGACUCCCUGCCUGCUCUCUGCACACAGUC
Molecule: long non-coding RNA, 5313 nt
Filed under: Sus scrofa (pig)
Lineage: Eukaryota; Metazoa; Chordata; Mammalia; Artiodactyla; Suidae
Description: lncRNA (ENSSSCG00000057308.1, ENSSSCG00110038679.1, ENSSSCG00130000969.1)
Source: RNAcentral